CAAAGAUAAAUACUGCAACCCCCUACGUA
RNAcentral lists this non-coding RNA (29 nucleotides) under Mus musculus (house mouse). The record is from RNAcentral. Lineage: Eukaryota; Metazoa; Chordata; Mammalia; Rodentia; Muridae.